RNAcentral lists this ribosomal RNA (423 nucleotides) under uncultured bacterium. RNAcentral describes it as "partial 16S ribosomal RNA". It matches the Rfam family "Bacterial small subunit ribosomal RNA", at positions 361 to 776 of the family's 1533-position model. The record is from RNAcentral.
UUUUUGGCCAUUGUGCGCAAGCCUGCUCCAGCCUUGCCGCGCGAGUGAGGAAGGCCUUCGGGCUGUUAAGCUCUUUCGGCCGGCACGAAAUCGCGCAGCCUAAUACCCUGCGCGGGUGACGGUUCCGUCAUAAGAAGCACCGGCUAACUACGUGCCUGCAGCCGCGGUAAUACGGAGGGUGCGAGCAUUAAUCGGAAUUACUGGGCGUAAAGCGUGCGCAGGAGGUAGAUUAAGACAGUCGUUAAAGACCCGGGCUUAACCUGAGAACAGCAUUUGUAACUGGUCAACUAGAGUACGGCAGAGGGGGGUGGAAUUCCACGUGUAGCAGUGAAAUGCGUAGAGAUGUGGAGGAACACCAAUGGCGAAGGCAGCCCACUGGGCCGAUACUGACGCUCAUGCACGAAAGCGUGGGUAGCAAACAGG